This 465-nucleotide long non-coding RNA is filed under the name Physcomitrium patens. RNAcentral's name for it is "long non-coding RNA (PPAT_LNC006647)". The record is from RNAcentral. Lineage: Eukaryota; Viridiplantae; Streptophyta; Bryopsida; Funariales; Funariaceae.
CUUUACCUUCUUAUCUGCCGUUUUAUAUCUCGUCUCUAUAGUGACUUCUGGUGCUUGAAAAGAUUCAAGUACGGUAUAAACCUCUCUUGAAUGAAUCUCAACAAUCUUAUCAUUAUCUCCUAAUCCAAUAGAUGUAAUCAAUUCCAAUGAAUCUUCCAGUCCAUUUUCUUCAUAAACACCUAAAAUCCUCUCAUCAUCUUGCAAUGUACCUAACUUGCGUAAUUGUCCUUCAAUAUCAUAUAAUCUUUUUCUUUCUUUUCUUUUAAAAUCAUCAACUUUCUUAUACAUAAUAUUUCCAUUCUCCGAUAUACCAAUAAAACUGGCAUCAAAGGCACCUUCAUCUCGCGAGAGUACCUCCUCUUUUGUACCUCCAUAAUCUCGCUUUACAGUGGUACCUCUCCAAAAUCCUUAAAUCCUUCAACAAUCUUUGGCAAUGGUUUCUCCCUCAACCUAUCUCGAUUCCGU